GACGAACGCUGGCGGCGUGCUUAACACAUGCAAGUCGAACGGAAAGGCCCUGCUUUUGUGGGGUGCUCGAGUGGCGAACGUGUGAGUAACACGUGAGUAACCUGCCCUUUACUUUGGUAUAACUUCAGGAAACUGGGGCUAAUACCGUAUAUGAUCUCCUGCUGCAUGUUGUGGUUUGGAAAUUUUCGGCUGUUGGGGAUGGACUCGCGGCUUAUCAUCUUGUUUGUGGGGUAGUGGCUUACCAAGGCUUUGACGGGUAGCCGGCAUGAGAGGGUGACCGGCCACAUGGGGACGGAGAUACGGCCCAGAAUGCAAAGGGAGGCAGCAGUGGGGAAUAUUGCAAAAUGGGCGGAAGCCUGAUGCAGCAACGCGGCGAGCGGGAUGACGGCCUACGGGUUGAAAACCGAUUGCGCAUGUGACGAAGAGUGAGUGACGGUAAUGGGUAAAGAAGCACCGGCUAACUACGUG
RNAcentral lists this ribosomal RNA (468 nucleotides) under uncultured bacterium. Its description in RNAcentral is "partial 16S ribosomal RNA". It matches the Rfam family "Bacterial small subunit ribosomal RNA", at positions 28 to 507 of the family's 1533-position model. The record is from RNAcentral.